UACGGAGGGUGCAAGCGUUAUCCGGAUUCACUGGGUUUAAAGGGUGCGUAGGCGGGCAGGUAAGUCAGUGGUGAAAAUCUCAGACGGCUUAACUCCUGAAACUGCCGUUGAUACUAUCUGUCUUGAAUAUUGUGGAGGUAAGCGGAUAUGAUCAUGUAGCGGUAGAAAUGCUAGAUAUGACUAGAACACCUAUUGCGAAGGCAGCUUACUCGACAAUCGAUUGACGCUGGAGGCACGAAAGCGUGAGGAUCAAACAGG
Molecule: ribosomal RNA, 258 nt
Filed under: uncultured bacterium
Lineage: Bacteria
Description: partial 16S ribosomal RNA
Rfam family: Bacterial small subunit ribosomal RNA
Source: RNAcentral